GAGUUUGAUCCUGGCUCAGGAUGAACGCUAGCGACAGGCUUAACACAUGCAAGUCGAGGGGCAGCGGGGCGGCAGGCUUGCCUGCCGCCGCCGGCGACCGGCGCACGGGUGAGUAACACGUAUGCAACCUGCCCGUGGCAGGGGGAUAAGCGGGGGAAACCCCGUCUAAUACCGCGUAACGCGGCCUUGGGGCAUCCCCGGGCCGCCAAAGGGAGCAAUCCCGGCCACGGAUGGGCAUGCGGCGCAUUAGCUAGUCGGCGGGGUAACGGCCCACCGAGGCGACGAUGCGUAGGGGUUCUGAGAGGAAGGCCCCCCACACUGGUACUGAGACACGGACCAGACUCCUACGGGAGGCAGCAGUGAGGAAUAUUGGUCAAUGGGCGCGAGCCUGAACCAGCCAAGUCGCGUGAGGGAGGACGGCCCUACGGGUUGUAAACCUCUUUUGCCGGGGAGCAACGGGCGCCACGUGUGGCGCCACUGAGAGUACCCGGAGAAAAAGCAUCGGCUAACUCCGUGCCAGCAGCCGCGGUAAUACGGAGGAUGCGAGCGUUAUCCGGAUUUAUUGGGUUUAAAGGGUGCGUAGGCGGAGCGUUAAGUCAGUGGUCAAAUUGAGGGGCUCAACCCCUUCCCGCCAUUGAAACUGGCGCUCUUGAGUGGAAGAGAAGUAUGCGGAAUGCGUG
Molecule: ribosomal RNA, 680 nt
Filed under: uncultured bacterium
Lineage: Bacteria
Description: bacterial SSU rRNA
Rfam family: Bacterial small subunit ribosomal RNA
Source: RNAcentral